AUUGAACGCUGGCGGCAGGCCUAACACAUGCAAGUCGGGCGGUAGCACAGGAGAGCUUGCUCUCCGGGUGACGAGCGGCGGACGGGUGAGUAAUGCCUGGGAAACUGCCUGAUGGAGGGGGAUAACUACUGGAAACGGUAGCUAAUACCGCAUAACGUCGCAAGACCAAAGAGGGGGACCUUCGGGCCUCUUGCCAUCGGAUGUGCCCAGAUGGGAUUAGCUAGUAGGUGAGGUAAAGGCUCACCUAGGCGACGAUCCCUAGCUGGUCUGAGAGGAUGACCAGCCACACUGGAACUGAGACACGGUCCAGACUCCUACGGGAGGCAGCAGUGGGGAAUAUUGCACAAUGGGCGCAAGCCUGAUGCAGCCAUGCCGCGUGUAUGAAGAAGGCCUUCGGGUUGUAAAGUACUUUCAGCGGGGAGGGAGGUGUUGUGGUUAAUAACCACAGCAAUUGACGUUACCCGCAGAAGAAGCACCGGCUAACUCCGUGCCAGCAGCCGCCGUAA
This 506-nucleotide ribosomal RNA is filed under the name uncultured bacterium. RNAcentral's name for it is "partial 16S ribosomal RNA". It matches the Rfam family "Bacterial small subunit ribosomal RNA", at positions 30 to 523 of the family's 1533-position model. The record is from RNAcentral.